This is a non-coding RNA of Pteropus alecto (black flying fox), 104 nucleotides long. The record is from Rfam. NCBI's taxonomy places the organism in Eukaryota, Metazoa, Chordata, Mammalia, Chiroptera, Pteropodidae.
AUGCUCGCUUCGGCAGCACAUAUACUAAAAUUGGAACGAUACAGAGAAGAUUAGCAUGUAUCUUCUCUUGUGAAGCAUCUGGUUAAAUCUUUUGCCCAUUUUUU